RNAcentral lists this ribosomal RNA (86 nucleotides) under Butyricimonas hominis. RNAcentral describes it as "partial 23S ribosomal RNA". It matches the Rfam family "Bacterial large subunit ribosomal RNA", at positions 2831 to 2925 of the family's 2925-position model. Lineage: Bacteria; Pseudomonadati; Bacteroidota; Bacteroidia; Bacteroidales; Odoribacteraceae. The record is from RNAcentral.
AGGGUCGUUGUAGACGACGACGUUGAUAGGCCACAGGUGUAAAGCCGGUGACGGCAAAGCCGAGUGGUACUAAUCACCCGAAAGUU